RNAcentral lists this ribosomal RNA (88 nucleotides) under uncultured bacterium. RNAcentral's name for it is "partial 16S ribosomal RNA". The record is from RNAcentral.
CACACACGCCCGUCGCUUCAUCGAAGUUGGUUUUAGGCGAGGUGGUGCGAUAUUGGCAUUAUCGAACCUGAGAUCAGCAACGAGGGAG